This 253-nucleotide ribosomal RNA is filed under the name uncultured bacterium. RNAcentral's name for it is "partial 16S ribosomal RNA". It matches the Rfam family "Bacterial small subunit ribosomal RNA", at positions 524 to 776 of the family's 1533-position model. The record is from RNAcentral.
UACGAAGGGUGCAAACGUUGCUCGGAAUUAUUGGGCGUAAAGCGCACGUAGGCGGUAUUGCAAGUCGGAUGUGAAAUCCCUCGGCUUAACCAAGGAAGUGCAUCCGAAACUGCAACACUUGAGUACGAAAGAGGAUCGCGGAAUUCCCGGUGUAGAGGUGAAAUUCGUAGAUAUCGGGAGGAACACCAGUGGCGAAGGCGGCGAUCUGGGUCGAUACUGACGCUGAGGUGCGAAAGCGUGGGGAGCAAACAGG